GCAGACUUGGGCUGGAAGCUCCCGGCCCGAGGGGAGGGGGCGAGGGUGCCCGGUGGUGGCCGCCGUUGCCUCUUGGCCCCCUCCCCGGAGUGGCUGGUGCGUGGAAGCUCGAAAGGGGCUGUCUCUUCCUCUCCCCGGGGACCCCCCUACGAGCUGCGUCCUCUCCCCGACGGGCCCCCUGGGGCGAGGGCCAGAGGGUUCAGUGCCACCCGGUGCCCGGGUCCAAUCUUGCUGAAGCCGCUGCUUCCCCGGAGGACCGGGGGAGGGGGUGGCAGCCGAGAAAGGACCUUCUCCCCUCCGCAGCGUCGGCCGUUCUGCUGGCGGCGACUGGGUUUGCACCCCGGAGGGAGCCGCCGCGGCCACUGCUUCCAGGACGCACGAGAGCAGAGGAGAGGAGUGCACGCACGCAGGCUCCCGCCGCCCCCAGGCCUGGCCGGCGCCCGGGCCGCCGCGGCUGGCGGCGCUCACGUUGGCUGCAGGGCGCUCGCGCGGCGCCUCGGCCCGGGUCGCAUCCCUUCCCGCUCGUGCUCACGCUCGCCCGGAAUGUGGGGUUGUGAUUGUUACUCUACGUUCCGGAGGCGCGUCUCGGCGCUCCUGCUCCGGCUGCGGCUCGCGCUGUCCCCGGCUUGGCCGCGCGGGAUGCCGCCCGGGCGGAGCGCUGACGUCACCGCCAUGCUCUGCACCAGUUCUUCCCCCUCCCCUUUACACUUCCUCUGUGGAGCCCACUUGUUGCUCAGGCAAGGCGCAUGCGCGGCAGGACGCCCAGAUUCCUCCCAGCCGGCCCCUCCUCCGCGCCUCCGCCCUCCCCUCCCCCCUCGCCGUGUGUGUACAACAGCUGAGGCCCGGCGAGCUAAUGCUGGAAGUCCAGAGCUGGGGGUGGAAAUUAAACAGACGAUGACCUUUCCUUUCCCUGCCGGGCAUUCCCAAGUAAAAACGCAUUUAAGAACCACUAGCGUCGUUUCCGAUCCCUGCUCCCCACCCCACCCCCAA
This 990-nucleotide long non-coding RNA is filed under the name Homo sapiens (human). RNAcentral's name for it is "non-protein coding lnc-CIPC-1:1". The record is from RNAcentral. Lineage: Eukaryota; Metazoa; Chordata; Mammalia; Primates; Hominidae.